AGGCUAUACGUACCCUCCAACACACGGGGGAUUGAUCGAUUGAUUUCAGUGCGGCGUGAUCGACUUGCGAUGGCGCCGCCGGGGUCGAUGUCCCGAAAGGGAUAGCACGUUUUUUCUUCUUCUUUGAGAUGAAGUGGGUCGCAAUUGUAACUCCUAAGUUCCCUUGCCAGUUGCCACGACCCGCCCCGGAGGACACCCAUAAUUUCAGCGCUGAUGACUCGAACUUAAAAAAAGAGAAAAUUCCGUUUUCAACCUGUACUUGUAGACGAUGUUCAAGAUGAAACCCUGGCUUUUUAAUCUCUGAAAUCGGAACCCUGAGCUCGUUAAUCCCGGUCAAUUAUGAACUUAAAGUUGUUUGGCAUGCUAGGAAAAGGAUGAUGCCGGUCGGGAUUUCUACUUUAAAUCCUGAUCUUUUAUGCAAAGUCUGAAUUGAACCCUAACAUCUUAAUUCUUGGAUUUCCAAUCCUAACCUUACAAAUCCUGAUUAAUUAGGGCAUUUAUUCCUAGAAAAUCCAUUUGGUGGAGGACUGUCGGCACCUGGAGGAGCAGCGUCGCACGUAGGGCCCCGAGGGGUGGCGGCGGAGCUUUGGCAAGCCGGCGAAUUUUUUGUGAUUUUUUUUUUCUCCUAAACCUUAUCGUGUCGGGUGUGUGGCGUGACCGCCACUGAUGAGGCGCCCCAUCAGUAACGGGUGGCCUGCCCGCCACUGAUUUGCACCUCAUCACUGGCAUGCAGGUUGCGGUGGGUGAGACGCGCUACUGAUGUCAUUUUACGCCCGUUACUCAUGAUUCAUUAUGUAGUAGUGACAUAGACUUAAAUCACGAGAAUUUGUAAACCUACUCAUCAAUCCCAGAACCAUGUUAGCGAAAACGAUCAACCAAAUAUGAUUUCUAGGAUUAAGGGUUUUAAUUAACCGAGAUUAGUAAGGUCGGGGUUCGAAAUUCAAGUAUUAGAAGGUUAAGGUCCAAUUCAGACUUUGUCUACGAAGUCAGGGUUUAAAAUAGACUUUUCUCUUACAAAAACGAGCCAGGGUUUCUGAGUAGGUGGUACUAGUACCAACGUAGUAGCAGUUGUACCAACGUUCCAGCGUGGCAGGGAGGUGGAAAGUGGGUUUGGCCACGUUGGCGCUGACUAGUGUGGGACCAACAGGUCAUAAACUCCGUUAAGUGGCCAAACAGCCCGUUAGAAGAUUAGACCAACAACCCGUAAAAAAUGC
This 1214-nucleotide long non-coding RNA is filed under the name Brachypodium distachyon (stiff brome). RNAcentral's name for it is "long non-coding RNA (BDIS_LNC000387)". Lineage: Eukaryota; Viridiplantae; Streptophyta; Magnoliopsida; Poales; Poaceae. The record is from RNAcentral.